AGCCGCGGUAAUUCCAGCUCCAUUGGCGUAUAUUAAAGUUGUUGCGGUUAAAAAGCUCGUAGUUGGAUCUGUGUAUCGGACGGUCGGUUCGCCGCUCGCGGCGUUUAACUGACCGGUCCGGACGUCCUGCUGGUGGACGCCGGUUCGCGCCGGUGUCCGUAACCCCUCCGCGCUGCUCUUAACCGAGUGGUUCGGUGGGCCAGCACGUUUACUUUGAACAAAUUUGAGUGCUCAAAGCAGGCCUUUUGUCGCCUGAAAACUGUGUGCAUGGAAUAAUGGAAUAGGGCCUUGGUUCUAUUUUGUUGGCUUUCUGAACUCGAGGUAAUGAUUAAUAGGGACAGACGGGGGCAUUCGUAUUGCGACGUUAGAGGUGAAAUUCUUGGAUCGUCGCAAGACGGACGGAUGCGAAAGCGUUUGCCAAGAAUGUUUUCGCUAAUCAAGAACGAAAGUUAGAGGUUCGAAGGCGAUCAGAUACCGCCCUAGUUCUAACCAUAAACGAUGCCAGCCAGCGAUGCGCCGAAGUUCCUCCGAUGACUCGGCGCGCAGCUUCCGGGAAACCAAAGCUUUUGGGUUCCGGGGGAA
RNAcentral lists this ribosomal RNA (582 nucleotides) under Paraleptophlebia memorialis. Its description in RNAcentral is "SSU rRNA". It matches the Rfam family "Eukaryotic small subunit ribosomal RNA", at positions 572 to 1122 of the family's 1831-position model. The record is from RNAcentral. Lineage: Eukaryota; Metazoa; Arthropoda; Insecta; Ephemeroptera; Leptophlebiidae.